Acanthosepion pharaonis is the source of this 113-nucleotide non-coding RNA. The record is from the annotation of a GenBank genome assembly. NCBI's taxonomy places the organism in Eukaryota, Metazoa, Mollusca, Cephalopoda, Sepiida, Sepiidae.
UUACGGUCAUAUCACGCUGAAACACCGGUUCCCGUAGUGUCACUGAAGUUAAGCAACGACAAGCCUGGUCAGUACCUAAAUGGGUGACCGCUCGGGAAUACCAGCUGCUGCAA